AGCAUGUGGUUUAAUUCGAAGCAACGCGAAGAACCUUACCAGGUCUUGACAUCCCGAUGCUAUUUCUAGAGAUAGAAAGUUACUUCGGUACACCGGUGACAGGUGGUGCAUGGUUGUCGUCAGCUCGUGUCGUGAGAUGUUGGGUUAAGUCCCGCAACGAGCGCAACCCCUAUUGUUAGUUGCCAUCAUUCAGUUGGGCACUCUAGCGAGACUGCCGGUAAUAAACCGGAGGAAGGUGGGGAUGACGUCAAAUCAUCAUGCCCCUUAUGACCUGGGCUACACACGUGCUACAAUGGUUGGUACAACGAGUUGCGAGUCGGUGACGGCGAGCUAAUCUCUUAAAGCCAAUCUCAGUUCGGAUUGUAGGCUGCAACUCGCCUACAUGAAGUCGGAAUCGCUAGUAAUCGCGGAUCAGCACGCCGCGGUGAAUACGUUCCCGGGCCUU
This 445-nucleotide ribosomal RNA is filed under the name uncultured Streptococcus sp. Its description in RNAcentral is "bacterial SSU rRNA". It matches the Rfam family "Bacterial small subunit ribosomal RNA", at positions 936 to 1382 of the family's 1533-position model. The record is from RNAcentral. Lineage: Bacteria; Bacillati; Bacillota; Bacilli; Lactobacillales; Streptococcaceae.